RNAcentral lists this long non-coding RNA (691 nucleotides) under Homo sapiens (human). Its description in RNAcentral is "HSALNT0230733". The record is from RNAcentral. Lineage: Eukaryota; Metazoa; Chordata; Mammalia; Primates; Hominidae.
AGGGAUGUCAGUCUUCUCUGAGGCGGCGCUGGAGAAGGAGCUGUCGGGGUUAAGCAAUGCGCAGCAGAGCAUGCAGACCUGGUCCCUGUGGCUCAUUCAUCACAGCAAGAAGCACCCGGGCCCGUGGUCACCGCAUGGUAGCUGGAGCUGCAGAGAGCAAAGCCAAACAGGAAGCUUACUUUUCUUACCUUGCCAGUGAGACCACCUGGGCAACAUGGUGAAACCUUGUCUCUACUAAAAUACAAAGCAAAAGGAAGGGGCCGGAGCUUACAAAAGAUUUGCACUGGUUAUAGUGGAAGCUUUUAAGCAUGUUUCAAGUGAAACUGAUGAGAGUUGUAAGAAGCACAGAAGCACAUUGGAAGAGUGUUGUCUAUUUGGGAAGAAAGUGUGAUCCUAGCUACAUGGGAGGCUGAAGCAGGAGAAGUGCUUGAACCUGGGAGGUGGAGGUUGCAGUGAGCCAAGCCAUGGACUUGUCUUCCACAAGCACGUUCUUACCUCAGCCACAAAGUGACCAAGCCACAUGUACUAAGGGUUGAGAUCCAAGAUAUGUACAGAAUACUUAACAAAUACCAAGGGAACAGUUAACUUGCAUAUGAGGUCAAAAUCAGCAACAAGUUCUACAAUCCAGUGCUGAUAUCAGAUACAAGCUUCAAGGACGAAUUUCUUUUUGAAGGCUUAUUCCAGUUUCAUG